This 408-nucleotide ribosomal RNA is filed under the name uncultured bacterium. Its description in RNAcentral is "partial 16S ribosomal RNA". It matches the Rfam family "Bacterial small subunit ribosomal RNA", at positions 28 to 526 of the family's 1533-position model. The record is from RNAcentral.
GACGAACGCUGGCGGCGUGCCUAAUACAUGCAAGUCGACCUUAGUGGCGACCGGGUGAGUAAACCGUGGGUAACCUGCCCCUCAGAAGGGGAUAACACUUGGAAACAGGUGCUAAUACCGUAUACUGAUGGAUGGACCCGCGGUGCAUUAGCUAGUUGGUUAUGUAACGGCUCACCAAGGCCACGAUGCAUAGCCGCGCUGAUGGGGUGAUCGGCCACAUUGGAACUGUGACACGGCCGAAACUCCGACGGGAGGCAGCAGUAGGGAAUCUUCGGCAAUGGACGAAAGUCUGACCGAGCAACGCGGCGUGAGUGAAGCAGGUUUCCGGAUCGUAAAACUCUGUUGUUAGAGAAGCGGUAUCUAACCAGAAAGCCACGGCUAACUACGUGCCAGCAGCCGCGGUAAUUC